Long non-coding RNA from Bombina bombina (fire-bellied toad), 2902 nucleotides. RefSeq lists it as uncharacterized. The transcript is spliced from 2 exons. The record is from RefSeq and is a predicted model, not a curated record. NCBI's taxonomy places the organism in Eukaryota, Metazoa, Chordata, Amphibia, Anura, Bombinatoridae.
UUUUCAACCAUGAUUUCGGUUUUCCUUUCCACAUUAAACAGCAGAUGGUUCUUUGUCUGCUGAUGAAUGAGAGGUUUUAGUAUGGUUUAAAUAUGAGCAGAUGCUCUGAAAGGUGAAACAUGACUGCAUGCUGAAAGGUGUAUGAGUAGUUAAUUAUAUGGAUGAUAUGAAUGAGCUUAUGUCUAAAUGCUUGUUCUUCCUGUGUGCAGCUUACUGCCUUGUACUGUACAUGGAAUCUUACAAUUAAUAACCUUCUCAUUAUACUUCCUUUACAGCAAAAAAGUUAUUUACAGUCAGCCUUCAGAAACACACAGUGAUCGGAAUUUCCAGCAGAAGUCAUCCUUCCUGGUAUAAAUAGAAGCCUUCAUGUGCUUGAUUUUGCCUGAACUCCAUCCUGGAUUUGUCGUCUAAUUUGAAAUUGUUGUAUAGGAAUUUAUCAUAUGAAUUCCAUGUAACUGCUUUAGAUGAUGGAUAUGGAACCAUUUACCCUUUUUAGUUGAUGGAUAUGGGACCAUUUACCCUGGCCUUGUUUUACUACAUUAUGUUAAUCAUUCAUACACUGAAAAUGUUUGAACCUUUAGGAGUCUUGAACCUUCUGCAAGUACUGGUAUAUUAAAAAAUGCCAGCUAUUUGUGAUAUAGAAGCUUCCAUCAGAUAGCACAAACAGUUGGACCUCUGCAGAAGGUACAAGACUUUGUGGUUUUUUUUUUAAAAACUGUUUUGAGUGCUUCUCUGUAGUGGACACCACCGAAAACAAUGUGUUGGGGACAUUACGGUUGAAAACAAAUACAGUGGUUGUAACAAUGCUGUUUAAGGUAGCUGCAAUACUCGGAUGUAUUUUGCUGUUUAAUGCUUCUCUCUAUCUAGAAACUCAUUUCUGUGCAGUUUCUAUGUAUCUCUCAAGAAAUUAUAUAAAAGUUACAAGAGUACAUACAUAGUGAGAGAGGGUUAUUUUAUUUAUAGCAACCACUAACGGCAAUGUUGGAGGAUAUGUAUGAAGAGUUCAAUUUAUUUUUUAAAAAGAAAAAACACUAAUCAGUCUUAAUACUAUUUCAACAACGAUCAGGAUCCUAGAAAUCUGCAGGAGUCUCUAGUUGUGUUUUAUUUUAAUAACUAAUUCUGUGCUUUGUCUAUUAAUAUUCCAGAUAUUUGUAUACAAUUCCUGUUUAAGAUGGGCUCUCCAACUGCAGAGUUGGUCAUUAAGAUAGAAUUUAGUUUUUUUUAAAUGUAUUUAUAUCUUGUAUUUUGUGUGUGCUGUAGAAAAAGAUUUUUCCUACAUACAUAUCCAAACUAGUUUAUUAGUGUGCCUGUAAGGAACUAAAUGGCAAUCCUAAAUUAAUAGCAAAGUAAUCCUAUUUAAUUAUCUCAUCAGUCUGCACCUUAACCUCUGUCUUGUUAAUAAAUGUGACUUACUCAAAUUGGCAGAAACUGUACACAUAUUCAGAAUGCAUUUUAUAGGACUCAUUUUUAAAGAUGUUUUAAAUGAAUUUCUAAAUAUGGAAUAUGCAUCAGGACCAAAUUGUAAAUAAAAUGUGUGAACAUCUGUAAGAAGCCGAGAUAAACGUAAUUUAUUGCUCCACAUGUCAGACAUUAGAGUGAAUGUUAAUAUUUUACAUGCAUUUUAAAGUGGCUGCUUUUAAACUUUUUAGUAUCGUCCCCUAGGAAUUCUUUUUGGGCUAUUUGCUGUUAAGAGUAGUCCCUUUUUGAGGUUAUCCUUAAACUGUAGCUAUUAGGGUGAAAUUACUCGAUUCAUUAGUCCAUGUAGAUUCUUUAGUAACACUUUUUUUUUUUUUUUAUAUUCCCUUUUAACUGUAGCAAAAUGUGUCACACUAUCAACUAUUUUUACCGAUUCUAGGAAGUUCUCUAUCAUUAGAUCAUAAAUGAUAAAUUUAAUGAAACUUGCUCAUAUCCAGGGCAAUUUCCACAACUCUCACAUUUUAAAGGGGCAGUCAACACAAUAUUUACUUAUUUCGAUUUAGUGGUUAAUGCUUUUUAAAUCUUCCUUUAGCCCACGGAUAUUGCAUACCUAGUUUUCUUUUAAACCUAGUUAGCAGCCUCCGGCCGAUUUGAAAUGGCUGCCAGACCCUUCCUUUUUGUGACAUAAUCACCACCCCAGGCUUUGUUGAAAGGAAUUCUCUCCGUGUCGAGCAAGAGAUUUAAUUUAGCCUUUUGCUAUACAAAUAUUGUACACAUUCAUGUAUUUUGCAGUAUGGAACAUUUUAAUGACAAACAAUACGAUUACAAAAUACAUUCUUGCCCCAAGUGCUGGGAAGUACAGGUAAGCUUGCUCUGAUACACGGUCUGCUGGCUGAGUUUCACUGACAGAUCCGCUUGGUAUGGUGACCGCUAUAGAAAUGAGAUCAAUUCUUUAGUUCCAGUGUUUAAAAGGCCUCCUUGACUAUUUCAAUACACUGGGCAAGUGCAAGCUACCGCGCAUGAAACCUCUUCUCGACACGGAGAGAAUUCCUUUCAACAAAGCCUUGGGUGAUGAUUACUUCAUAAAGAGGAGGGGCCUGGUAGCCAUUUGAAAGAAAACUGUGUGCAUUAUCUGUGGGCUAAAGGAAGAUUAAAAGAACAUUAACCACUACAUUUGAAAUAAGUAAAUAUUUUGUGUUUACUGUUCUUUUAAAAAGGUCUUCACUGAGAUGGAAAUUAGCCCACACAAUAGCAUCAGGUGGUUGUUGUGUGAUUGUUUUUUUUUUUUUUUUUUUUUUUUUUUUUUAUAAAGGCUAUUUUUACAUUGUAGCUUUAAUCUGUGGCAGUGGUUAACUUUUUUUUGCAGCAGAAUGCAACUACAUCAUCUCCUACUGGUCUCUAACUCUUAACCAGUAAUUAUGUAAAAUACUUCUGCAUAUUUUCUGUGAUUUUUACAUUUGUUUGAAAAUAAACAUUUUCUUUUAAA